GUUUAUAUCCAUUUAUUAUACCUUUACGUAGUACCCAUAGUGUAUAUACGGUAAAUACGAUCACUUAGAGACACUCGUCAUCAAUCUGUAAGGUCAAAUGGUUUAUAAUGUAUCAACCACCAUCCACCAUGAACAUCGAGUAUUGAACUUUGCUUAAAGAAAACAGUAAUUUCAAUUUAAGAUGAAACUCAUUCUCUAUGAAGCAUGCAUAGUCUAAAAUUGCAAAGGAAACUGGUCGUCUCUUAAUUCAUUAUUCUUGGACCUGUUGAGCCUCUUUCAUUAUUCUCCUAAAUAAAAAUAAGAACAUUGUCAAUUAAGACAUGAAUAAGCCAAUGAUUUCUCUUCCAUUAGCUCUUUCGCUGUUGCAUCCAUCUUUCCCCUGGAGAACUCGUCAAUGUUGAGCCCUUGCACGAUGGACCACUUUCCUUUCUCGCAUGUAACGGGAAAAGAGUAAAUAAGACCAGGCUGGAUCCCAUAAGAUCCAUCAGAAUACACUCCCAUAGAAACCCAUGUUCCCUUGGGUGUCCCAAGAACCCAAUCACGUAUAUGAUCACAAGCCGCACUUGCAGCAGAUAAUGCACUUGAUAGCUUUCGUGCUUUGAUAAUCGCUGCACCUCGUUGCUGAACUGUGGUGAUGAAAUCACCGUUUAACCAUUUAUCAUCAGCAACAAGUUCUCUGACAGGCUUCUCUCCGCUACUGGUUUUGACUGUUGCAUGAUUGACAUCUGGAUACUGAGUUGAAGAAUGAUUUCCCCAUAUGAUGACAUUUUUCACAUCACUAACUUCAACAUCUAGCCUUUCUGAGAUUUGGCCUAAUGCCCUGUUAUGAUCAAGUCGCGUAAGACAUGUGAUGUUUUUCUCUGGGAUUGAAGGUGCAAAUUCUUUCAAGAUGAGUGCAUUGGUAUUUGCUGGAUUUGCUACCACUAACACCUUGCAAUCUGCAGCAGCAUGCUUCUCCAAGGCUGAAGCCUGAGCUUUGUAAAUCGAUACAUUUUUGGACAUCACAUCCUUCCUCUCCAUACCUUCCUUUCGAGGAAAUCCACCAACCAUAACCGCAAUAUUGACACCCAUACACGCUUCAACAACAUCAGUAGUAGCAAUAACUCCUUUGAGCAGAGGAAAGGCAGCAUCAAUCAAUUCCAUUUUCACCCCUUUCAAGGCCUCAGCUGCAGGUUCAAUAUCAAGCAUGUGCAGAAUUACUGGCUGAUCAGGGCCUAGCAUGACCCCCCUCGCAACCAUUGGGACAAUAGCAUAGCCUAUUUGCCCUGCAGCACCAGUUAUCAGUACUCUCACAGGUUCCCUUUCUACAUUCAGUAAGCAGCAGCACCAGUGACCAAAACUCUAACAGGGUCUCUCGCCAUUGCUGCGAAGAUUGGCUGUCCUGAUAGCAAGUGCAAGUUCUGGUAAGUUUGAGAGACUGGUAAUGGUGAUAAAAAAGGAGAUGAAGGUUAUAUAUAGGGGAAGGGAUUGAGAUGAGGAGACGAGAUCGAGAGUGUCGAAAAUCGAGGAUAAAGAUAACCGUGACGAUGAUGAUGAGAUGAGAUGAGAUGCGCUGCUUUUACAGUUAAAAUGGGACGUGUCGCCAUGAAACCUAUGAAUCUUGCUUUUUGAUGCAUACGUUCCCUAUUUCUUUGGAUCCAUGCCACAACUGGGAUUUCUUCUACGCCAAUGUAAAUGGAAGAAAUUUUAAAAUGUAACAGUUUUAGGUAAAACGGAC
Molecule: unclassified non-coding RNA, 1717 nt
Filed under: Hevea brasiliensis (rubber tree)
Lineage: Eukaryota; Viridiplantae; Streptophyta; Magnoliopsida; Malpighiales; Euphorbiaceae
Source: RNAcentral